Molecule: ribosomal RNA, 512 nt
Filed under: uncultured bacterium
Lineage: Bacteria
Description: bacterial SSU rRNA
Rfam family: Bacterial small subunit ribosomal RNA
Source: RNAcentral
CUCACCACGAGAUGAGUCCGCGUCCCAUCAGCUAGUUGGCGGUGUAAUAGACACCAAGGCUUAGACGGGUAGCUGGUCUGAGAGGAUGACCAGCCACACUGGGACUGAGACACGGCCCAGACUCCUACGGGAGGCAGCAGUGGGGGAAUAUUGGACAAUGGGCGAAAGCCUGAUCCAGCCAUGCCGCGUGAGUGAUGAAGGCCUUCGGGUCGUAAAGCUCUGUGGGGAGGGACGAAAAAGCGUGACCUAAUACGUCUCGCCUUGACGGUACCUCCUUAGCAAGCACCGGCUAACUCCGUGCCAGCAGCCGCGGUAAUACGGAGGGUGCAAACGUUGCUCGGAAUUAUUGGGCGUAAAGAGCCCGCAGGCGGCUUGGCAAGUUUCGAGUGAAAUCUCCCGGCUCAACUGGGAGGGGCGCUCGGAAAACUGCCAGGCUUGAGGCAGGGAGAGGGAUGUGGAAUUCCCGGUGUAGUGGUGAAAUGCGUAGAUAUCGGGAGGAACACCAGUGGCGG